RNAcentral lists this long non-coding RNA (8506 nucleotides) under Vitis vinifera (wine grape). Its description in RNAcentral is "long non-coding RNA (VVIN_LNC006715)". The record is from RNAcentral. Lineage: Eukaryota; Viridiplantae; Streptophyta; Magnoliopsida; Vitales; Vitaceae.
AACUUGCUUUGAGCUUGUCUAUGCGCUCAUGAUGUGGCUGGAUAUAUUGCUCUGGCACCUUCUCCAGGCCAAGAUCCACCAUGCCUUUGACUCCAUUGCCAUCUCUGACAACAAAGUUGUACAGUGAAUCGCCAUCAUCAAAGUUAGGUGCCAUUUUCAAAUGAAGCUUGAAAAUCUUCUAGUUUUGUUGAAUGUUGAUGAUUCAAUAACCUUAGACCAAUGAUCCCAAUUGUUACUGUCUAGUGAUCCUUGACUUUUGUGUGAUUGUCGAAGCAAGACUUAGGGCCUUGAAGCUGGAUGGAGUAAGGGAAAGUAGACAUAAUGCCACUGGGGUUUGGUGGCCGUGGUGGGGUUUAGGUGAAUAAAAAAACUACAAAAAACACAUCCACCAGGUUACCAACCAGUCAAGAAUCACAUGCCAAGGAAAUAAUCCCAUGCCAACACAAAAAUAUAUGAUCUUUACAAUAACCAAUUAUAUAAUUUUAGGAAUUAUUUUAUAAAAGUUGUAAAAUAUUUAAUAUUUUGUAAAAACAAUUCAUUUAUUCUAGUAUUAACAAUUUACAUAGUCUGUCCUUGAGGACGAUACCCGAAGUACUACAAAAGUCAUAGUAACUCUUUCUCUAGUUUUUUUUUUUUAUCAGAGUUGUUACGUAAAAAUAUUAAGUAUUUUGGUACAAUAGAAAAGUUUAGUCACACCUCUUAAGGGUAAUUAACUUAUUUAAGCAAUAUAGAGUCCAAAAUUUUAUAAAAUAAAAUAAAAUUCAAAGAAGUGGAGAUUUAAAAAGAUAAAAAGAAAGUGAGUAUUACUAAUUUUUAAUUAUUUUUGGAUUUUGAUUUUUUUUGGGCAUCAAUUUCACAUCCCCUAACUGUAAUUAACCUAUUUAAACAAUAUUCAACCCAUAUGAAGUUUAAAUUUCUUUUAAAAAUUUUAAAAAGUAAAGAUUUUGGAAGAUACGAAGAAUGUGAAAAAAAUUUCUCAGCUUUUAAGCAACUAAGUUUAACAAGCUUAUUUAUACAAUAUGAAAGUCAUAUGAAUGUGAAUUUUUUUUUUUUUUUUUUUUUAACUUCGAACAAAUGGAGAUUCUCAUUAGGGUAUGAAUUUUUAAAACUUCAAAAUUCAAACAGGGACCGAUCGACCGUAUGUGAAAAGCGGUCGAAUAAUUUCUCUACUGCUAGCCACUGCCACUUUACGUGGACAAUGAGCAUAUUAGCCGGUUGACCGCUAGUGAGGAGAGGUUGAAUUUUUUCUUUGCCACUAACCACUACCAAUUUACGUGGAUAAUGGGUAUAUUAGUUGGUCAACUGCUUUGGUUGCGGUUUAGUAUUUUCCCCUACCGCAUGCCAUUGCCACUGGGACACUAGAAGUUCCAGAAUCAUUGUUCUUGCCUUGUGGAUUUGGUAGCUUAUUUUUAAGAGAUCUUCAACAAAUGAAAGUGUUGUUUAGUUGCCCAACACACAAUUUUUUAUGUAUGUUAGAAGAUAGCAACAUAUAAUAAUUAAUAAGACAUAAGAAGGAUUGGUGAAUUCCUAUCCUCCUUCCUUACAAGAAACAACUUUGGCUUCUUCAAGAAUAUCCUGCCUCUGGCUCGAUCUUGGAGCAUCAUCUGAAGCAUUUGCUAAACCACUUGUAGUUUGAUCACUUUCACUUGAACAGCUCAAAGAGCCUUCAAUUGCAUUAAAUUAAUUAAAAUUGCAAAUGAAUAAAUUAAAAAAAAAAUUCAUACGAUCGACCACUAAACAAUAAACAAUAAGAAUCCAAUUUCACUAUUUAUUAAACAUGAGUUUCAUUCUAAUUUGCCUUCUUGUUUAUCAUCAUUAGUGAAAUGGAUGCAAAUAACUAUAAUUACCAACAAUGACUAACUAAAUAUAUAGUAAAGUGAAUAAAUGGAAGGCAAGAAAUUCGUAAAUAUAAGAUUUAUAGUGGUUUUGCCCUAUAUUGUCCUAUGUCUACCCUUUUGAAGCUCUAAGUUAAGGGUUAAACUAACUUUUAAGACUUCAACCAAACCUUAAUUCUUUAAACUUGGAUUCUUGAUUCCAAGACACCUUCUCACACUUUUCCUCAAUACAUUUCUCACUCUUGAAUAGACUCAAAAUGUAAUAAUUUAAUAAAGUUAAUAUCACAAAAUCCUAGCACAAGUUUAAGUUGAAGAUGACAUAAAUGAAAAGCAAGAUUAAAGGUAAUGCACUUAAACAAGAUGUUGAAAGCCUUUGGAUUGAUGAGUAGUAAAAUCACAAAGCUCUCCUAACAAUCAAAGCUUAAAUGAGAUCUCACAUAUGAGAUAGAAAGUCAGAGUAGCUAUUAGGUAUAAUUUACCUCAACCUGUUAACCUUAGCUGGUUCACCAGUAUGCUAGCCAUUGGAGGUACAAAUAUAAUAGGUAAUUGUUAAAAUACAAACAUGCUCGAUUGGUUGAAUUGGGUGAUCCGCUAGUGGGCUUAACUAGCUUUUAGUCCAAUUGAUGGCUAUUAUCAAAAUAUUCUAUAAACUAUAGAAAGUACAUAAUGUAAAGAAACUAAAGUGAAGAUAUUUGGAAAACAAUACAAGAUAUCAGAUAAUGCAUAAAUCCAAACAUGAAUCAUUUAUAAUAGGCGAAUAACAAGUAAGUAUAUAUAAUAACAGACGAUCAUUUAGUAGAAGAAACUUCCAAAUAUUAUGGAAAUAUAAGUCCAUGAAAUACAUAAAUCCAAAACUGACAAGUUAAAAAAAAAAAAGGUUAUGCCCAAUGUUAAGGUAAAUAUUGUCGGGAACCUUGAAUUACUUUGUUCCCAUGCCAUGGAUCUUGUAGAGAGUAUGCAUUUAUCUCUAGGAAUCUCUAGAUCUAAAGCAAUAUAAAAAAAAUGACUUUAAAACUAUUUUAAAAUAAAGAUCUAGAGAUUUGAAACUCAUACUUGUGAUAUGGAUGUUUCUAAAUUAGAAUCCAUCCGAUGAACAUGCUUGAAAAUUUUGGAAGUAUUGUACACCCAAGAUCUUCCUCCUGAUGACUCAAACCGCGAUCUUGACACUCCAAAGUAUGGGCAAUGGAAAGGAGGAAGCUUUGACUUUAUUUCUCUCUUUCUUUGACUUGGUAUUUAUUACAAGGAAACACACUCUCCCAUCAUGAUGCAAUCACAUUUUAAUUUUCAAUUAGUUUGUUAGUCUUAGUUUACGACAUGUUUAUAUGGAUCUAUGGAUAAUAAUAUAUACAUGAAAAUCCUUGAAGAAUUAAAUUACUUGAAGCAAAUAUUACCAAUCCUUAUAGUAUGUAUUUUGUCAAGGUACAAUGAUCCUUAUAUGGAUUGAAACAAUCAAAACGUAUAUGGUAUAAUUACCUUAACAAAUACUUACUAAAAGAAGGGUAUGUGAAUAAUUUUAUAUGUACACAUGUUUUUAUUAAGAAUUCAUAAGCAGAUUUGCAAUUAUUCCAAUAUAUGUUGAUGACUAAAAUCUUGUUAGGACUUUUGAAGAGCUCACAAAAACAAUAAAUUAUUUAAAGAAAGAAUUUGAAAUGAAAGACCUUAGGAAAACAAAGUUCUGUCUUGGCUUACUGAUAGAGUACUUUCCAAAUGAAAUAUUAGUCUAUUAGUUAACAUAUGUAGAGAAGUUCUUAAAGCACUUUUAUAUGGAUAAAUCACAUCUAUUAAGUUCUCGAAUGAUAGUUCAAUCACUUGGAGAGAAAAAUGAGUUUUUUCAUUCUAAAGAAGAUAACAAAGAAUUAAUUAAUCUAGAAGUGCCUUAUCUUAGUGCUAUUGGUGUUCUAAUAUAUCUUACAAACUGUAUGCAACUAUAUAUAAUGUCCUUUGUUAACUUACUUACAAGAUAUAGUUCUGCACCUACUUGAAAAUAUUGGAAUAGAGUUAACCAUAUACUGUAAUAUCUUCAUGGAACAAUCGACAUAGGUUUAUUUUAUUUGAAAUGAUCAGAAUCUUAAUUACUUGGAUAUGCAGAUGCUAACUAUCUUUUAAUCUCCUAUAAAACUUGAUCUCAAAUAGGGCAUGUAUUUUUACCUAUGGUAGUAUGACAAUAUCAUGGAGAUCAGUCAAACAAACAAUAGUAAUUACCUUUUCAAAUCAUUCAGAGAUAUUCACAUGAAGUAAGUCAUGAAUGUAUAUAAUUAAGGUGAAUUGUACAUUCGAGAAUCAUGUGGACCACCCUCUGUCAAAGAUAAUCCUAUUAAGUUAUAUGAAAAUAAUGUUGCUUAUAUUACACAAAUUAAAUGUGGAUUUAUAAAAUAUGAUAGAACUAAGUAUAUCUUCCCCAAAUUCUUCUACACUCACAAGCUCCAAGAUAACACAAAAAUUGAUGUUCAAGAGAUCAAAUCAUGUGAUAAUCUAUUAUAUUUAUUUACAAAAGCGUUACCAUUGACUACAUUAAAAAAAAUUAAGAUACAAUAUUGGAAUACAGAGAUUAAGAGAUCUACUAGUCAAACUAUUGAAGAAAACAUAAUCAUAUCUAUACGAGGGGGAGAAUACUAAUAUAGAUAUAUUGCACCAUUUUUUCCUUUGUCCAUAUUUUGUCCCAUAAGGUUUUACUAGUAAAGUUUUUAAUGAGACAAUCAUAAUGGUUAAAUUAUUUUGAAUAAUAUUAUACUCUUUUUCCUUUACUCGACUUUUCUCCAUUGAUUUUUUAAUAAGAUUUUAAUGAGUCAAUAGUCUUAUGAUCAUCCAAAGUGGAGUAUUAUAUAUGUGAAUUUAUCACAUUGUGAGAAUUUGUGGAUGAUUGUUCAUAUUGAUGUAUAUAUAUAUAUAUAUAUAUAUAUAUAUAUAUAUAUAUUUGCACUUUUUAUAAAAGAGGGAGAUCUGGUAAUGAAAUAUUAUUCAACUUCAUUAUUAGUAUUUUAUUUCUUCUUCCUCAAUUUCUUCCCUUUCUACUUUCUUCUCUACAAUGAUAACAAUUAUUUUUUUUUGUCAAAAGCUUUUUUUUUCUUCUUUUUUUUAUAACUAUUUUAGAAGUAAGAAUAAUUUUUAUAAGUAUCAAUACAAAUCUCAAAGCUAAUAAAUAAGCCAUUUUCAUUUUAGAUCUUUGUUUUUCAAUUUCUGAUUUUGAGUAAAAAAAUUUCAGGUCUUAGGCAUAAAAAUGAAAGAAUGAACAAGCACAAAGGUAACAUCUAUUGAGUUCUGAUAACACUAUCACGUCCAAGAGCUUAGAAGAAGAAGAAAUGCAAGAGGGACAGCCCAUUUAGGCCCAUUGACAUGCUUCUUGGGCCGAUGCAAUAUUUCAAUCCAUGGGCAGCCCAGCCAAACACAACAUCAGCCCAUAAACAUGCUCAAAGAUAAGCCCAAAGUUGAAAACGACCUAAUCAUCAAAGCCCAUUUCAUUUUAAAGCCCAAGUUAGUACAUAUGGGCUUUUGGGCCAUCAAGCCAAGGUUAAACUCUAGUGAUGACUGAUGACCAAUGGUGAUAACCGUUAACAUGGCCUCCCAGUCUCCAACAAGCCAUAAAUAGGUUGUUGAAAUACUCAAAACUGUUACUCUAGUAAUAAAAUAAAAGGGAAAAAAAAAAUAAUAAUGGAGAGGAUGAGAGAAAUCUUUAUUCACCAAAAAAGGUGACGGUAAUCUACAGUAUCACUCAUUCUCAUACAAUGUGAGUUACUAUAUUAUCAUUUAUUAGUCUCCCAACUAUCUAUUAUGGAUGCCUAAAGCUACCUAGUGGCACCCAUGAUCAAAGUAGAAGAUCCUUGUUGAAAAAUUUGCUAUGUACUCCAACAUAGGCUAAUAGAACAUGUCUCUCAAGAAUUUUGGAUAAACAUAAACAUAAAAUCAAUUCUUAAAUUGAAGAAGCAAUAAGUAAUUCCUAAUGAAUUUUGAAUCAAACAAGUUAAAGCUUGUCCAUGCAUCUUCUCUUGAGCAACAUUUUAAUGCCUUGAUUGAUGAAAAGAAAAUUAGAGAAGAAUCAAUUUGAUAAUGAAUAGUCAUAAAAUGAUGAAUAUGAAAAAAAAAAAAAAAAACUAGAAGUUAGUCAUUCCAUGGAUGAUGAAAAAUUAUAAGCACAUAUGUUAUAGUGAUCAUUAACAAGAAGGAAGAGGUGAGUACUAAUCCCAUGGCAUGUUUUCCUAUGCACAAAGUCCGUGAAAUCUUUAUGGCUAAGGUAGAUGGAUUGGUUGGUCUAAAACAUUCUUGUUUCCUAAAUAUUUUUCAAGCUUAAUGAACCAUAUAUAAUAAGGUUUAUUUCCUAGAGUUUCAAAAUACUUUUAUGAACUGAUCUAUAAAUUAAUGGCAUCAUCAACUAUAUGUUAUAUAGAAUUAACAAGAGUUAGCCUUUGAUCCUUUUAUCAAUUUGUCUGCAAAUGAUGUUGAUCAAAAGGGCACCUUAAUUCGAACCACAAAAACUUAACUAAGACCCGAGUGAAACAGUUAUCUUUAUUAAGGCAAAGGAUUCUUAAUUUACUAAAGAAAGACACGCUUGAGGACAAUUUAUUUAGCCCUAUGCCACAUAUGUUUGACGUCAAGGCAAAUCAAUUUUGGAUGACCAACCAUGCAAAAGAAAAACCAUAAUAAUGUAUAUGUGAUUAGUCUUUGCUUCAAGAGGAGUUGAUCUGAGCAAAAUCUAGUGACUUCUUCCCUUCAUGAGCUUUCCCAAAAAAGUUGUUCAUGUACUCCUCAACCACAACCUCGCGAUAAUGAGCAACCCCAUCUCUCUCAACCACUUGAGGCAAUGGCCCGAUCUUCUCAUUUGGUCUCGGAAUGGUGAAUAUAGGGAUCGACACUCUGGAUUGAGUGCUUGUGGUACGCACCCUAUGUUCUGCGCUUUUGUACUUCCCAUUGCUUAAUAUCUAAAAAUUUGCAUACAUUCAUAUCAAAGAAAUGUCCAUUUGAGUAUGAUUUUAUGUACUUCUAUAACUAAAUUUUGUAAGUAUAUCAGUAUUAAUCUAACCUGUAAUGUAUCACCAACAUUGAUGACCAAUGCGCCUGGUGUGGGUGGUAUCUCCACCCACUCUCCUUUCUUUCCAGCACCUGUGAUGUCUUCCUCCAUUUUCACGUAUAAUCCGCCGAUACCAUCUUGUAGCAACACCGUUAACAUGCCCAUAUCAGAGUGGCGUCCCACGCCAACGGUGAGAUCCGGGUUAGGGCAGGUGGGGUAGAAGUUCAUGUUCACCAUUUUUAAACCAAUGAGGCCAUCGAUUCUUGAUUCAUCUAGAGUUACUCCAAGCUUCUCCAUUAACACUUCUAGUAUUCUUCUCACCAUUGAGAUGGAUGCCUUCAGGAACUCUAGCGCUACUUCCCUGCGGAAAAUAUGAAUAAUAUUGCAUGCCAUGAAGUUUAUCAUAAACAAGGCCUAAAAAGUGCCCCAUGUAAAUGGGCCAUUGUACCAUCUCGCAAGUUCCUCAUUUUUUUUUAAUACAUAGAUCUAAUCAUCUACCAAUCUCGAGUUAGAUUUGUUUGUAUAUUUCAUGGAUUACUACAAUGAAUAUUUCUAUACAAUAUGGACCAUUUAUAUAAGAAUCUUGUUGUUGUAAGUCACCUGAAGGGUCUAGGAAUAGUUACUAAAGAAGAUUCAUUUAACAUGCUUAGAACCAUUUUUCCAAAUUGCAAAGGUAGUGGAUCCAAGGUAAAUAAUAUUUAUAUGGGACGUAAAUUAUAUCAAAAUUAAUUCUUAAUCGAAAAUAUAAUAAUUAAGCUAUAUGAGACAUAAAUGAUAUCAAAAUUAAUUCUUAGUCAGAAACAUAGUAAUUAAGCCACCCAUAAAUUCCAUGGGCCAUGGUGAAGAUGUAUGAGAGGAUUACUACAAUAUUCCACAUUGCAUGGGUAGAAGUUUCUAACACUUCAAAGAAAUAACUCAUAUAAUAUAUAUAGAUGACUCUUACUUUAUGUGAAAAUUUGAAAUAGAGUCUCACAUAUCCAAAGUUUUAUACCUAUAUGGUUCAAACCAUCAACUUAAUCAUGAGGCGUGAGUAGUGUACAUAUCUAUCAAGUUAUCACAAAAGAAAAUGUAUUACUCAUAGGAUUAGGGUCGAUUAAAAACAUCUUACUUGCAUUCAUUAGGCCAAAAUUCAAAUGCAUCGGCAUCGCUCGUAUACACCAUACUAACGUAGUCCUUCCACUCCAAUGCCUUCUCUUUCUCAGGCACAAAGCUCGUCCCAUACUUCACGUACGGGCUCGGGCUCACCCCCUUCCGAUACACCGCCUUCUUCUCAGGAGCUUGUCCAAAGAACUCAUGCGCCGCGCUCUUAACCGACUCCAGCACUUCAUUGGGCACCCCAUGGUUCACAACUUGGAAGAACCCCACACUCUCGGCUGCCUCGGCUAUCAACUCCAUCACUUGGCUAUGCUGAGGUCCGCCAAGCAUUGAUAAAUCUAUUGGCGGCCGAUCAUAGGAACUUGCUUUGAGCUUGUCUAUGCGCUCAUGCUGUGGCUGAAUGUAUUGCUCUGGCACCUUCUCCAGACCAAGGUCCACCAUGCCUUUAACACCAUUGCCAUCUCUGACCACAAAGUUGUAUAGUGAGUCGCCAUCAUCAAAGCUAGGAGCCAUUGUCGAAUGAAGCUUGAAAAUCUUCUAGUUUUGUUGAAUGUUGAUGGUGCAAUAACCUUAU